This 292-nucleotide ribosomal RNA is filed under the name uncultured bacterium. RNAcentral describes it as "partial 16S ribosomal RNA". It matches the Rfam family "Bacterial small subunit ribosomal RNA", at positions 773 to 1060 of the family's 1533-position model. The record is from RNAcentral.
GUGGAUUAGAUACCCGGGUAGUCCUAGCAGUAAACGGUGCGCGUUUGGUGUAGGAGGAUUCGACCCCUUCUGUGCCGGAGCUAACGCGUUAAACGCGCCGCCUGGGGAGGACGGUCGCAAGAUUAAAACUCAAAGAAAUUGACGGGGGCCCGCACAAGCGGUGGAGUAUGUGGCUUAAUUCGAUGCAACGCGAAGAACCUUACCUGGGCUUGACAUGCAUCUCUAAGUCGGUGAAAGCCGGCGAGUGGAGCAAUCCACAAUUUGCACAGGUGCUGCACGGUUGUCGUCAACU